GCUUUCCUGUGGCUCAGUUUGCAGAGCAUUGUGCUAACAAUGCAAAGCUAAUGGGUUCUAAUCCCAGGGAGAGCA
Non-coding RNA from Danionella cerebrum, 75 nucleotides. Lineage: Eukaryota; Metazoa; Chordata; Actinopteri; Cypriniformes; Danionidae. The record is from the annotation of a GenBank genome assembly.